This 195-nucleotide long non-coding RNA is filed under the name Dasypus novemcinctus (nine-banded armadillo). Its description in RNAcentral is "lncRNA (ENSDNOG00000050766.1)". Lineage: Eukaryota; Metazoa; Chordata; Mammalia; Cingulata; Dasypodidae. The record is from RNAcentral.
AGUAAUUUAUGGUUUCUCUGGUUUAUGGCCUCACAGUAUUGUCUUCUCAUAAGGCAGGUAGGUGGGAAUUAUAAGGCAUCUCAGACCAUAGACUUGGCUGCAGGAGAGGACAAUCCCUUAUCAUUAACAAAGUACUCAUUCCAAGAGAUUGAUCACAGAAAUGCCAGUAGCUAUAAUUGCCGUUUUGGCCCGUAG